GGUUGAUCCUGCCAGUAGUGAUAUGCUUGUCCUAAAGAUUAAGCCAUGCAUGUGCAAGUAUAACCGAGAAGAGGGGGAAACUGCGAAAGGCUCAUUAAAUCAGCAAUGAUAUGAAUGACGGAGGAGAGUAGAUGGACAACUGUGGUAAUUCUAGAGCUAAUACAUGGACAGCUGGCACUUAGGUGGCAGGCGCUUAUUAGAUAACAACCAAAUGCGGAUGAGUCAUGAUAAGAGAGCGGAUCGACAAAGUAAUGUCGACGGGUCAUGUUAAUUUCUGCCCUAUCAACUUGAU
Molecule: ribosomal RNA, 292 nt
Filed under: uncultured eukaryote
Lineage: Eukaryota
Description: partial 18S ribosomal RNA
Rfam family: Eukaryotic small subunit ribosomal RNA
Source: RNAcentral